AUGGUCGACGGGGAGAAGGCCCCGGCCCCGGCCCCGGCCCUGCUGCGGCUGGAGACGCUGCUGGCGCUCGGCCUCGACCAGCGCACGGCCGAGAACGCGCUGGUCAAUAGCAAGGUCACCGCCAACCUAGCCGCCGUCGUAGCCGAGGCUGGUAUAACUGGAUGCGACAAGUCCGUUGGGAAUCUUCUGUAUGCAGUUGCCACGAAAUACCCAAAUAAUGCACUUGUCCAUCGUCCUGCUCUCAUUAACUACAUCGUUUCGACCAAGAUUAAGAACCCUGCACAGCUAGAUGCUGCCCUGUCGUUUCUUACUAACACUGGUCCUGAAUCUUUGGAUAUUGGGAAGUUUGAAGAAGCCUGUGGUGUAGGUGUGGUUGUUUCUAUUGAAGAGAUUCAGUCAACUGUCGCUGAGGUUCUAAAGGAAAACAUGGAAGCUAUAUUGGAGCAGCGGUAUCACAUAAAUGUUGGUGGCCUAUGCGGACAGGUCAGGAAGCGGCACCCCUGGGGCGAUGCUAAGGCAACAAAGGAGGAGAUUGAGAAGAAGCUUGCUGAGAUACUAGGUCCGAAGACAGAAGCCGACAAUGUAAAACCAGUGAAAAAGAAGAAGGAAAAACCAGCAAAAGUUGAGGAGAAAAAGGUUGCAGUAGCCACUGCUGCCCCACCAUCUGAGGAGGAACUGAAUCCUUAUACAAUAUUUCCCCAGCCAGCGGAAAACAAUAAGGUUCAUACAGAAAUAUUCUUCAGCGAUGGGAACAUAUGGAGGGCACACAACACAAAGGAGAUAUUAGAGAAACAUCUUAAGGCAACUGGUGGAAAAGUGAUGACCCGUUUCCCGCCAGAACCUAAUGGAUAUCUUCAUAUCGGUCAUGCUAAGGCUAUGUUUAUUGAUUUUGGAUUGGCUAAAGAGCGAAAUGGUCACUGUUAUCUCAGGUUUGAUGACACAAAUCCAGAAGCUGAAAAGAAAGAAUAUAUAGACCACAUUCAGGAGAUAGUCAAGUGGAUGGGAUGGGAGCCCUAUAAAGUUACAUAUACAAGUGAUUAUUUCCAAGAUUUAUAUGAGCAUGCAGUUGAGUUAAUACGGAAAGGGCUAGCCUAUGUGGAUCACCAGACUGCAGAACAAAUCAAGGAAUACAGGGAAAAGAAGAUGGAUAGUCCAUGGAGGGAUAGGCCCAUUGAAGAGUCUCUUCAGUUAUUUGAAGACAUGCGACGUGGGUUGAUCGCUGAGGGUGCAGCAACUCUCCGAAUGAAGCAGGACAUGCAGAAUGAUAACAAAAACAUGUCUGAUUUAAUAGCAUAUAGAAUAAAAUUCACUCCUCAUCCGCAUGCUGGCGACAAAUGGUGUAUCUAUCCAAGCUAUGACUAUGCUCAUUGCAUGGUGGAUUCACUUGAAAACAUUACACAUUCUUUGUGCACGCUCGAGUUCGACAUUCGUCGCCCGUCAUACUACUGGCUACUUGUUGCCUUGGGCUUGUACCAGCCAUAUGUUUGGGAGUAUUCGAGGCUAAACAUAUCACAUACUAUGAUGUCCAAAAGAAAGUUGAAUCGGCUUGUGACAGAGAAGUGGGUAGAUGGGUGGGAUGACCCUCGUUUGUUGACUUUGGCAGGACUGAGGCGACGGGGAGUAUCAGCAACUGCGAUCAAUUCAUUUAUCCGUGGAAUUGGGAUAACGAGAAGUGACAAUAGCUUAAUCCGUGUUGACCGUCUUGAAUAUCAUAUCAGAGAAGAACUGAAUAAAACAGCUUCUCGGACCAUGGUUGUUUUGCAUCCUCUGAAGGUUGUAAUAACUAAUUUGGAAGAUGGAAAAGUCAUAGACCUUGAUGGAAAAAAGUGGCCUGAUGCUCCUGCUGAUGAAGCUUCGUCCUACUACAAGGUUCCUUUCUCAAAAACCGUCUACAUUGAAAAAACUGAUUUUCGCGUGAAGGACUCCAAAGAUUACUAUGGAUUGGCUCCUGGUAAAUCUGCCCUGCUGAGGUAUGCAUUCCCGAUAAAAUGCACAGAGGUUAUUUAUGGUGAUAAUCCAGAUGAUAUUGUUGAAAUUCGAGCCGAGUAUGACCCUUCAAAGACCUCUAAACCUAAGGGUGUUCUGCACUGGGUUGCCGAGCCAGCACCUGGAGUUGAGCCGUUAAAGGUUGAAAUAAGAUUAUUUGAGAAAUUAUUCCUCUCGGAGAAUCCCGCCGAAUUGAAAGACUGGCUGGGUGAUAUUAACCCGCACUCAAAGGAGGUAGUCAAGGGCGCCUACGCUGUACCGUCACUCGCCACCGCGGUUCUGGGCGACAAGUUCCAGUUUGAGCGGCUUGGCUACUUUGCUGUGGACACGGACUCGACGCCCGAGAACCUUGUGUUGAACAGGACUGUGACCCUGCGCGACUCUUAUGGGAAGGCUGGACCCAAGUGA
Molecule: ribosomal RNA, 2394 nt
Filed under: Triticum aestivum (bread wheat)
Lineage: Eukaryota; Viridiplantae; Streptophyta; Magnoliopsida; Poales; Poaceae
Description: partial small subunit ribosomal RNA
Source: RNAcentral